Lactuca sativa (garden lettuce) is the source of this 2591-nucleotide non-coding RNA. The record is from RefSeq and is a predicted model, not a curated record. Lineage: Eukaryota; Viridiplantae; Streptophyta; Magnoliopsida; Asterales; Asteraceae.
UAUAAGUAAAUCCAUACUUUAAAUUGUGUUCGUAAUAAACCUUUGAAUAUCCUUGAAAACCAAGGUGUUAUGUUACAUAAGUAAUUCCAUAUUUAAAAAUAGUUUUGAAAGCAACCAAGUCCAUGAUUGUUAGUGAGAGAGAGAAAGAGAGAGAGAUAUUCUAGUUAAUGUUUAUAGUGAGUCCGAUAACAAAGCUAUAUGACUUGAGUGUACCCCCUACAACGCUUCAUUUGACGUUGUAGUAAAAUCAGUAGACACCUAUCACCUGCUUCGAUUGCUCGGUCGAGGGUUGUAGCUAGCAACCGCAUGUGGCGAUGUCAACCCCGUAUAAAUAUAUACAUAUGUAUCUCGCUCCGAAGAUCAACGGUUACAGUAGUGUGGGUAGGCUAAGUGUUUAAGCUCAGCUAACGAAUUAUGUCUCACUAAAAAACCAUGAACUAAAAAGUUGGUGAAUAACUCUCAGCCCUAAUUUAAUAGUCACUAGGCAUAAUGAAUAUCGUUGUAUGAGGUUACAAAACCUGAGUAUGUUUGACAUCAUGGAAGUGUGGUGUGCUUGCUUUUAUAAAAACGAAUGUUUCAAAUUAAUGGACAUAGGUACAUGUAUAAAUGUUGUGUACUUAAACAUAUAAAUAAACAUGCAUAAUAAUAGCUUAAAUCCUUGAAAUACUACAUGGUUUCAUAAUGUGCUUGUUAUAAUUUGAAAUGUCACAUUAAAAUCAUAUAAUUUUGUAUCGUGUAGUAUUUGUUAUGUGAAAUGGUUAUUUCACGAUAAAAUAACCCUAAUACGUAUGCGGAAAUUUUUUACUAGUUUAUUCAUAACAAUCUGGUAAAUUGUUAAAUAAUAAUAUUUUUAUAAACUAGAUUUAUUGUAUUUUCGCAUCAAAAGGGAAUUGAUUUGUAUAAACAUAAUAUUUAGGCACAUGUAUUCCCCCUCGAAAGAAUUAAAAUAUUAAAAAGGGGUCAUAAACACUCACCCUUGAAGCGUGGGUUCGAGUUGUUCGAAUUCGGAUUCUUUUGAGAAACUUGUCAUGAGAAACCACAAAUCCACCAUUCUUGAACUUUGAAAUAUUUUUGAAACCGCUUCGUAACGAAUUUAAACUAUUGGGGGCUAUUUGGUAAUUUAAUUAACCAAAAUAUGAUUGCUUUGGUUAAAAUAAAUAAAUAGGGGGACUGAAAAGGUUUAAAUAGGUUUAAUGUUUCGAGUCUUCGACUGGUAUUGUUAAGAAAAUUCUAUGGAAGGGACUGUUUUGAAUAAAUGGGGUCAAGGUUUGUGGAUUGGGAUUGAUUUUUAAGAUAAAUAUGGCAGUAGGGGGUUCUUUUGUAAAUGUAUCAAAGUUGAAAGAAAAUUAGGGCUUAUAUGUAAAGAAAUAUCAUGGAAGGCUUAUUAGGUUUAAUGGCCAAACUUUAAUUAAUCUAGGGCUUUUAUGCCCCGUCGUCAUCAGUUGCUUGAUCAAAAGAAGAGUCUUGAACGAAAUCGACGACGAUCUGAAAGGAACACGACGGCAGACGAGGGAAACACAAAAUCAGGUGAGGGGUCCGAUGGUUGCUGGUCAAUCGCAGGUGGAGGAUAGAUAGGCCGCUCCCCGGCGAUCUUGUGGUUUAAUCGUUGUCAUUUGUUUGAGCGGGUAAAGAAAAGGAACGAGAACGAACAAUCGAUGGGUCGAAAGGUAGCACGAAGGUUCGUCGCCCGACUCGCCCUCGGUGAUGGCCUCCGGCGCUCGAUUAGACUGAAGAAGGAGAAGGAUCGAAGCAGCGAGGCGGCUAUGAUCUCGGACGAGAAGGAAGAGACGAAGCAGCGGGACUGAUCGUCUUCUGUCUUGGAAGUAGUUGCGAAGGGGAAAGAGGUCCGAUGGGGGUCUGGGAGGCGUCGCGAGCAGCAGUAGCGACGAUGACGGGGUGUUCGGUUGGUUUGCUCGACGGGAGGGGAAGAGGACUGCGAGGGUUCGGUGUGUCUGCUGCUUCGAUCGGUUUCAAGUUCUCUCUUUUUUUUUUGAGAUUUUUUUUCUUUUUUUUUUUGUUUGAUAGAAAUCAUUGGGGUGUUUGGGUUUUCCUGGAAAAUCGAUGAUAAUGAAGGGGAUAUGGGUUUAAUUUUUGACAGAAAUCCAUGUGUGUUUGGAUUGGGUGUUUGAGCUUUGGUAUUUUGACAGGGAAAAUGAAGAAUAUCAGGGUUCUUCUCUUUGUUGAUGAUGUUUGAUCUUGGUUGGAUACGAAGAAGAAGACAGAAAGAAGAAAUAUGGAGUAGUUUGCGUGUUGAUUCUUUUUAUCAUUGUAUUGAUUGUUCAUUUUGACAUUGUACAGCGAAUACCAUGCGGAAGCCUUCCUCCUUUUUUUCAGCGGAAGUCCGGGUCCGGGUUCGAGUUCUUUUACAUGGCAAACCCUUAUCCCUUUUUAAUGGGAUUCCAAUGGGAGUCGAACUCCCCACCUCCCUCAAAGGUUAUAAGCCCUAAACCUCUUUUCCAACUGAACUGGGCUGGGCUUCGUUUACAUGUUAUCAUAUCUUUUGAUUGUAAUUUUUUUCUAAGCUCACCAUGUACAAGAUUUGAUACCAAAUGACUAUGGAUACCAAAAACUCAAAUCCACCAAGUUCAUUA